UCUUCCACGAAAUUACUGAGUGACAUACCAUGAAGGGGUGCAUAGAUUUUGCUCCGGUUAUUUGCACUGGGUAAACUUCACCCUGGCAGAAUGCUGUUUCACAUCAGGAUCGCUGCUUCAUCAACACUGAUGUAAAUCACAGCCAAGCCAGCAGGAAAGGAAGGAGCGCAGAGAUAGUGUGCAGCCCCUCCCAAGCGCCUUUCUGUCUGGGAGGAACCCGAGACCCAAACAUCGAGUGUUCCCGUCUGGCACACCGAAUGACACACAGCUAUCGGCUGUGGUACGAGUGAAAUGCUUUUGGUGAAUCACUUGGACGGUGCCCGAGGCUGCUAAUAGUUCGGCCACAUCCUAUUGUUACAUUAGCAGCCCUGGAAACGAAACAGCCUGAAACCUCUCCAGGAUAGAAAAAUGUAAUAAACUAACUCGGUGCAGAUCUCCUAAAAGCAACCAAACACACCCUAAGUCUCCUCUUUAAGAUCAGCUGCAUUUUUUCUAUACGCAAGUAGUCGUAAUUAGAUUUUUAAGGGUUCGGAGUGUGCAUUCCAAGUAGAGAACUGCCGAAGAAAGGAAAACUCAUUGGGAUUUCUCUGGCCACGCUUUAUACCCCACUUGUUUAGCUGCCUAGGUUCUUCUGUGAGCGCUCACACCCCAUCAGAUAGCAACGCUUUCGUCAUUGCACUGCGGGGCUCCCCCCACUUUCCAGAUGCGGAGAUUCCUGGAGAGGAAAGGCUUCCUUUUGCUCAUGCAGCCGGUUGUGGGCAGGCUGGGCUGUGGUCCUGGCCCUCCUGCCCAGCAGGGGUUCUCAGAAAUGUCUUCUCCCAAAGGAGCAAGUGCCCACUCGAGACCAGCUGCCUCGAACGCGGUUGUUUGAAAUCCAGAGCAAGUGUUUGUCACGAGGGCGAUGGGCUAACCGUGAGAGAGAAGUCAGCCUCUGCUUUAGGGCUGGCUGCCUAAAUUACCCAAACUGAAGUUAAAAAUGUGCUCUUUUGGGGAAAGUAGAGACAGUGGGUGUGACGAAUUUCUGGAUUUUAAGGCUAAUGAGGGCUACGCCAUUCACAGCAGAGGCCGGAGACUGCAGGACCUGGUGCUGCGUUGGCAGGUUCAAUGAGUUAAAGUAGGGGAGAGGCAUGGCUGGUGUCUGCUGGAGGCUGCCAUGCAAUGCCUCAACUUGCACCUGCACAGGGAAAUACAGCCCUGCUGAUGAAAAUGCUAAGCUGACACAGCAAGGAGGCUGCAGGUUCAGCUCGUGAGGCCGGUGGAAGAUGACCUGCAGCUGGACGGACGUCUGCAGAGGGCCAGGGGAUGAGGUGAAACUCAGCAGGACCUGGGCGUCUCUUCACACAGGGCAACCUCCGCAGCUGGCCCCUGCCCUCCCAAACAGCGCACAUCAGCAGCCACCGGGUGUAUUUUUGAUUCAAAUAUUUUGUUGUUGCUGCUUUAUUAAAACGCUGACAGUAAAUACAUUUAUUAGGAAGACAGAGCAAGUGGGAAACACAAGCUGGGACGGAGAGAUUUGACCGGCUAUAAAUAGCAGCCUGAAUAAACAGACAACUGCGAAUUAUGGGCUGCAGCUCCGGGCUUCGCAUGGAGGCAGCACCUGUUACCAGGAGACUUUUUACCAGUUUAUUUGUUUGCUUUUAAAAGAAAAAAA
Molecule: non-coding RNA, 1651 nt
Organism: Anas platyrhynchos (mallard)
Lineage: Eukaryota; Metazoa; Chordata; Aves; Anseriformes; Anatidae
Source: RefSeq, a predicted model, not a curated record